This 486-nucleotide ribosomal RNA is filed under the name uncultured bacterium. RNAcentral's name for it is "partial 16S ribosomal RNA". It matches the Rfam family "Bacterial small subunit ribosomal RNA", at positions 30 to 507 of the family's 1533-position model. The record is from RNAcentral.
AUUGAACGCUGGCGGCAUGCCUUACACAUGCCAGUCGAACGGCAGCACGGGUGCUUGCACCUGGUGGCGAGUGGCGAACGGGUGAGUAAUACAUCGGAACAUGUCCUGUAGUGGGGGAUAGCCCGGCGAAAGCCGGAUUAAUACCGCAUACGAUCUACGGAUGAAAGCGGGGGACCUUCGGGCCUCGCGCUAUAGGGUUGGCCGAUGGCUGAUUAGCUAGUUGGUGGGGUAAAGGCCUACCAAGGCGACGAUCAGUAGCUGGUCUGAGAGGACGACCAGCCACAUUGGGACUGAGACACGGCCCAGACUCCUACGGGAGGCAGCAGUGGGGAAUUUUGGACAAUGGGCGAAAGCCUGAUCCAGCAAUGCCGCGUGUGUGAAGAAGGCCUUCGGGUUGUAAAGCACUUUUGUCCGGAAAGAAAUCCUUGGCCCUAAUACGGUCGGGGGAUGACGGUACCGGAAGAAUAAGCACCGGCUAACUACGUG